This 484-nucleotide unclassified non-coding RNA is filed under the name Hevea brasiliensis (rubber tree). The record is from RNAcentral. Lineage: Eukaryota; Viridiplantae; Streptophyta; Magnoliopsida; Malpighiales; Euphorbiaceae.
GGUCGGAUUCGUCUACCGUGAGAAUCACAGAUCACCCGGAUACUAUGACGGUAGGUACUGGACCAUGUGGAAACUGCCCAUGUUUGGAUGCACCGAUGCCACCCAAGUGCUCAAGGAGCUCGAGGAGGCAAAGAAGGCAUACCCUGAUGCCUUCGUUCGCAUCAUUGGCUUUGACAACGUUAGGCAGGUGCAGUUAAUCAGCUUCAUCGCGUAUAAGCCACCGGGUUGCGAGGAGUCAGGCGGCAACUAAGCGCUUUCGUUCCUUCGUGCAUGUUCUUUCUUUUUCUUUUUUUUUUUGUGUGUCCGUGUUAAGCUGCACGUAAUUGUUCUCUCGCGCUCCGACCUGCCGUUGUUGCAAGAGUACUACUACAACUAUCGGUCUAUCGUUCGGUGACGGUGAGACAGGGCACGUGAAUGCAAGAUCUCCGGCUAUACACACGUACUCAUGUAAUAUGAUGCCUAGAGCAUAUCUGAAUCCGUCGAC